UCCUACGGGAGGCAGCAGUGGGGAAUUUUCCGCAAUGGGCGAAAGCCUGACGGAGCAAUACCGCGUGAGGGAAGACUGCCUAUGGGUUGUAAACCUCUUUUUUCAGGGAGGAAUCAAUGACGUGUACCUGAAGAAUAAGCAUCGGCUAACUCCGUGCCAGCAGCCGCGGUAAGACGGAGGAUGCAAGUGUUAUCCGGAAUCACUGGGCGUAAAGCGUCUGUAGGUGGUUUAAUAAGUCAACUGUUAAAUCUUGAGGCUCAACUUCAAAAUCGCAGUCGAAACUAUUAGACUAGAGUAUAGUAGAGGUAAAGGGAAUUUCCAGUGGAGCGGUGAAAUGCGUAGAUAUUGGAAAGAACACCGAUGGCGAAAGCACUUUACUGGGCUAUUACUAACACUCAGAGACGAAAGCUAGGGUAACAAAUGGGAUUAGAUACCCCAAUAGUCCUAGCCGUAAACUAUGGAUACUAGAUGUUGAACAGAUCGACCUGUGCAGUAUCAAAGCUAACGCGUUAAGUAUCCCGCCUGGGAAGUAUGCUCGCAAGAGUGAAACUCA
Molecule: ribosomal RNA, 553 nt
Filed under: uncultured bacterium
Lineage: Bacteria
Description: bacterial SSU rRNA
Rfam family: Bacterial small subunit ribosomal RNA
Source: RNAcentral